Trichosurus vulpecula (common brushtail) is the source of this 2832-nucleotide long non-coding RNA. RefSeq lists it as uncharacterized. NCBI's taxonomy places the organism in Eukaryota, Metazoa, Chordata, Mammalia, Diprotodontia, Phalangeridae. The record is from RefSeq and is a predicted model, not a curated record. The transcript is spliced from 3 exons.
UUUAAAAUGCCAAUCCAAAAAUCUGAACUAUUUCACUAUCACAGAAGUAGCAUCUUGCUUUCAAAGCCAACCCAGGCUAAAUGUCACUGAGGCAGGUACCAGGAAAUAUCCACUUAUAAGAAACUUACAAUCUGUCCUGUCAUUCAAUACAACACAUAAACAGUUAUCCAGCACCUACUGUGUAUGAAGGCACUAGACUAGGCACUAGGUUACAAAGACAGAACCAAACUCCCUUGCCCUCAAGAAGCUUAUAUUCUGCUGACACAGCUACAGACCCAUGCAAUAGUGAACAAGGCAGUACAUGUAAGAUAACGUGCUGCCAUAUCAGCCAUAGGUGCAAAAAGAAAAAAAUGAACUUGAGCUAAAAACAAGAUGAACUGCAUUUUCAGACAACUUAUUAACGUAUUCCUUACCACUCUGCUCACCACGCUUUAAGAAGGCUAGUAACAAGCUAGAAGCCCCAGUGGGAUGAUUCAUCCCAGGAAGGGAUGAUUCCCCCUGGCCAAGGACUUACAGCCAUGCCAUAGGAGGGUUUGUGGAAUGACCCAGCAGCCAUCAGACUAGAGAGGACUGUGUGAUCUCUGCCGUGCAGAAGGGGAAUCAGACUUGCUCCACUUGCCUAUGAGAGGCACAAUGAGGCAAAUGGAUAAAGAAUCCAGUGGUAGAUUUUGGCUGAAUAUACAGAAAAAUUUCCGAACAAUUACAAAGCUGAAAAAAAUGAAAUAUGAAGCCUUGGGGUUUAGAAGAUGAUGUUAUCACUGGAGUUAUCCUAGGUGAGACUGCAGAUGUAGACAUUUAAUUUUUGCUUAAGUUGAACUAGAUCAUCCAAGGUACUAAAAUGUAUAUUUAUGGGAGAUGGAGGGAGAGGUGGGGGCAGGGUACAGGAAAGGAAGAAAAGUGUUCUAGGUCAAGCCUUGAAAACCUCACAGGGAAGUUCAGACCUGUGAUAGUCAAUAGGGAGUUACUGUAUGUUCUUUGAACAGGGGAAUGAAAUGAUGAAAUGACAAAAGCAUACAGGAUGGGAGUGAAGGUGAGGGUGUGGCAGAAAGGGAUUUAGAAAGAUUAAGAACAAUAAUCCAUAUAUAAUAUGAUGGGAGAGCAGGCUGGGGUGCAAAUGGAUGCAGAUUCAUCCAGGCACUGAGGGAAGAACAAAAACAGGGCAAAUGGCCCAUAUGAUGAGCAAAAGGGAAGAGUCUUGUAACUCCAAGGUUCUUGGGAGGAGAGGAGAGUGGCACAAUUAGACAAACUGUGGAUUGCAGGGGAAGGAGCACUAGUGGGAGGAAUGGAAUGUAUCUGCUGGGCUCUGGUCAAAGGCAAGCAGAAGCUUCUUUCCAAUUUUACCUUUCACUUCUCUCUCCUCUAGACAGUCUGUUCAAUUCCCUUUCCUAUCCACAAAGGCAGGGAUUAAUUAACAGGUUUUGGAUCAGGCCAUGAUUUCCUCUAUUUUCAUGUCAUCACCCUUAAUCACAUUCUUCUUUGCUCCAGAUGAGGCUCAGGACAGAAUCUGCUUCUCACCACUACGAGUGAAAUCCCUUAACCACCCCCAAGGACUGUUUCCUCAUCUGGAAAACAAGAGAGUUGAACAAGAUGACCCAGAGGUGUCCUCCAGCUCCAGGUCUAUGAUCUGAGGAUGUCCACAAAGCUUAAUGUUACCAUGGCCACACCUCUACUGAAGGUGCCUUGGCCUUUUGUCUUCCUUUGGAUCCUCAGUGUUUAGCACAAUGCCUGGUUGGUUAGUUGUCUGUCCUUCGUUUUCAAAGAGGAACAAUGACAUCAUGAGACCACCUCCCCAGAAACAUCACUUAGCAGCUGAGAGCAUGGACUGCAGUGGGCAGAGACCUGAGGCUGGAUUGCCAGUUACAAGGCUGUUUCUAUGGAGCAGGUAUCCUCUGAGUAUGGUCGCCCAUCACCUUUAUGAUGGACAGCUGUAACCUUCUCAUUGGUCUCUCUGCUUCAGUCUUGCCCUCCCCUAUCUAAUCUAGCUUUCACAUAGCUGCCUGAAUAAUCUUCCUAGGACACAAGUCUGACCACACUGCUCCAAGUUAAAGCCUUUGGUUGCUCCCCAUUGCCUCGAGGGUAUCUACAAACUCCUUUGCCUGGCACAUGAGCCCCUCACCACAACGAGCAGACAGCUUUCUCCUUCAGCUUUAGCUCCCGGGAUAUCCUUUCACAGGCUGUAUUGCAACCCAGCAGGGGUACCUGCUAUUCCCAGACGUCAGAAUGCCAACCCCAUUCAUUCACACAAGCCACCCUACAAGGCCAAAGUGCAUUCCAAAAUCCUUGUCCUCCUCAAGGCUCGUCUCAGAUGCCACCUGCUCAUGAGUCUCCUCAACUGUUUCCAUAACUCUUCAUCAGAUCUUCUGCCCUUAUCAGUCUUGCCUGGUACUAUACCUGUAUACACAGGAUAACAGGCACACUACUGGAAGGAACAUGAGAAGCCACCUACUCAAACAACCUCACUUUAUGGAUGAGGAAACUUGGAUCCAGAGAAGAAAAGUGACUUGGUCAUGGUGUCACAGGUGGAAAGCACUGGAGGCAGCAUUUGAACUCAGGUCAUCUAACUCCAGAGCCAGUUUGUUUUCCAUUACACCAAGACCUCCCAUGCUGCAUGCCUCACGGUAGGUAUUAUACCUACCCUCAAGGGCAGGUAUUUUUGUUUUUGUGACCCCCAGUACCUUUCACAGCUGCCUUGUACAUAGUAGGUCCUCAAUAAAUGUCUGCCAAAUUGAACAAAACUAUAAGGUUGGGGCCUGUGGACUUCUAAGGGUUUGCGUCUAGUUUUAUGUUUAGGACGAUUCUGUUCAAAUCAAACCUUAAAAAGGUUUCUGUUCU